Molecule: microRNA precursor, 83 nt
Filed under: Gorilla gorilla gorilla (western lowland gorilla)
Lineage: Eukaryota; Metazoa; Chordata; Mammalia; Primates; Hominidae
Also listed under: 3 other names
Description: mir-548 microRNA precursor family
Rfam family: mir-548 microRNA precursor family
Source: Rfam by way of RNAcentral
UAUUAGGUUGGUGCAAAAGUAAUUGUGCUUUUUGCCAUUUAAAGUAAUGGCAAAACCACAAUUACUUUUGCACCAACCUAAUA